Molecule: ribosomal RNA, 263 nt
Filed under: uncultured bacterium
Lineage: Bacteria
Description: partial 16S ribosomal RNA
Rfam family: Bacterial small subunit ribosomal RNA
Source: RNAcentral
GUCCACGCCGUAAACGAUGGAUACUAGAUGUCGGGAGUUCUUACCCUCUCGGUAUCGUAGCUAACGCGUUAAGUAUCCCGCCUGGGGAGUACGGUCGCAAGAUUAAAACUCAAAGAAAUUGACGGGGCCCGCACAAGCGGUGGAGUAUGUGGUUCAAUUCGAUGCAACGCGAAGAACCUUACCUAGGCUUGACAUCCCACGCUACCCUGUGAAAGCAGGGGUUCCCGCAAGGGACGUGGAGACAGGUGCUGCAUGGCUGUCGU